AUUGAACGCCGGCGGCAUGCUUUACACAUGCAAGUCGAACGGUAACAGGCCGCAAGGUGCUGACGAGUGGCGAACGGGUGAGUAAUGCAUCGGAACGUGCCCAGUCGUGGGGGAUAACUACUCGAAGGAGUAGCUAAUACCGCAUACGAUCUAUGGAUGAAAGCGGGGGACCGUAAGGCCUCGCGCGAUUGGAGCGGCCGAUGUCAGAUUAGGUAGUUGGUGGGGUAAAGGCUCACCAAGCCAACGAUCUGUAGCUGGUCUGAGAGGACGACCAGCCACACUGGGACUGAGACACGGCCCAGACUCCUACGGGAGGCAGCAGUGGGGAAUUUUGGACAAUGGGCGCAAGCCUGAUCCAGCAAUGCCGCGUGCAGGAAGAAGGCCUUCGGGUUGUAAACUGCUUUUGUACGGAACGAAACGGCUCUGGUUAAUACCCGGGGCUAAUGACGGUACCGUAAGAAUAAGCACCGGCUAACUACGUG
This 482-nucleotide ribosomal RNA is filed under the name uncultured bacterium. RNAcentral's name for it is "partial 16S ribosomal RNA". It matches the Rfam family "Bacterial small subunit ribosomal RNA", at positions 30 to 507 of the family's 1533-position model. The record is from RNAcentral.